GAUGAACGCUGGCGGCGUGCCUAAUACAUGCAAGUCGAGCGAACAGACGAGGAGCUUGCUCCUCUGACGUUAGCGGCGGACGGGUGAGUAACACGUGGAUAACCUACCUAUAACACUGGGAUAACUUCGGGAAACCGGAGCUAAUACCGGAUAAUAUAUUGAACCGCAUGGUUCAAUAGUGAAAGACGGUUUUGCUGUCACUUAUAGAUGGAUCCGCGCCGCAUUAGCUAGUUGGUAAGGUAACGGCCUACCAAGGCAACGAUGCGUAGCCGACCUGAGAGGGUGAUCGGCGACACUGGAACUGAGACACGGUCCAGACUCCUACGGGAGGCAGCAGUAGGGAAUCUUCCGCAAUGGGCGAAAGCCUGACGGAGCAACGCCGCGUGAGUGAUGAAGGUCUUCGGAUCGUAAAACUCUGUUAUUAGGGAAGAACAAAUGUGUAAGUAACUAUGCACGUCUUGACGGUACCUAAUCAGAAAGCCACGGCUAACUACGUG
RNAcentral lists this ribosomal RNA (497 nucleotides) under uncultured bacterium. Its description in RNAcentral is "partial 16S ribosomal RNA". It matches the Rfam family "Bacterial small subunit ribosomal RNA", at positions 28 to 507 of the family's 1533-position model. The record is from RNAcentral.